AGGCAUGUCCUUGACGUUCAACUGCUUAACUGAAUUUAGACAGUAAUGUAUUCAGAAAGGAAUAUUUGAGUGACAUAAAAUGUAUAUAAACACGUUAAAUCUGUCAUGUUUAUUUUGAAUACGCUAAAUUAAGAAUAUAUACCUAUAGAGAAUGCAUUCUGAAUAAUGAACAUGAUUUUGUUGUAUAAUUAUCCAUUUAUAUUGUCUUUAAUCAAAACAAUAUGAAUACUAAAAACUAUAUGCUGUGUGUUCCUGUGGAUUAAAACAGUUAGUUGACCUUAAAGUGACUAGACACCAGGUGAUACAAUUGCAGGAAGAACAUAAAAAUGUAGCCGUAUGAAUCGAAGCAGACCCAGGAGGAACUGUUGAAGAACAAGCCAGACAGCCCCCCCCCCCCCAAGCUGCCCACCAGGCUGAGCUGUACUUGGUGUUUGCCAACAUGCUGUAAUUUCCAGCCUGGUUGCUGUAGCCACAGAGGAAUUUUCAAGGACAAGAACCAGUGCUGGUAAAACUGUGGUCUCGUGUGGUUUUCCAUACCGGCUCUCGGCAAGGAUUUUCAAGAAAGGAAUAUCAUCUCCAAAUCAUGAUGUGCCAAUAAGCUCCAGUUAGCUGUGGCCUUUUCCCCAGGCGGUAGUCCUGCAAUCUGAAUCCAGGAGAUGCAGCUCUGAAUCCAAUAUUUCAGAAGAAUGAAGAUGAAGCAGACCCAGGAGGAACUGUUGAAGAACAAGCCAGACAGCCCCCCCCCCCCCCCCAAGCUGCCCACCAGGCUGAGCUGUACUUGGUGUUUGCCAACAUGCUGUAAUUUCCAGCCUGGUUGCUGUAGCCACAGAGGAAUUUUCAAGGACAAGAACCAGUGCUGGUAAAACUGUGGUCUCGUGUGGUUUUCCAUACCGGCUCUCGGCAAGGAUUUUCAAGAAAGGAAUAUCAUCUCCAAAUCAUGAUGUGCCAAUAAGCUCCAGUUAGCUGUGGCCUUUUCCCCAGGCGGUAGUCCUGCAAUCUGAAUCCAGGAGAUGCAGCUCUGAAUCCAAUAUUUCAGAAGAAUGAAGAUGAAGCAGACCCAGGAGGAACUGUUGAAGAACAAGCCAGACAGCCCCCACCCCCCCAAGCUGCCCACCAGGCUGAGCUGUACUUGGUGUUUGCCAACAUGCUGUAAUUUCCAGCCUGGUUGCUGUAGCCACAGAGGAAUUUUCAAGGACAAGAACCAGUGCUGGUAAAACUGUGGUCUCGUGUGGUUUUCCAUACCGGCUCUCGGCAAGGAUUUUCAAGAAAGGAAUAUCAUCUCCAAAUCAUGAUGUGCCAAUAAGCUCCAGUUAGCUGUGGCCUUUUCCCCAGGCGGUAGUCCUGCAAUCUGAAUCCAGGAGAUGCAGCUCUGAAUCCAAUAUUUCAGAAGAAUGAAGAUCACGAGAAGCUUAGUUCAUCUACUGAACAUGCAGUGUGUGGUUUGGGGAAGAUGCUACGCCUUGGUGAAAGUGUACGGCCAGAUAUGUGUCUGACAACAUCCCCUAAAGCCAUCCGGCGGAUCCGACCAUGGCUAGGAAGCACAAGGCUUCCAUUCUGGCCAGCGCUUGAUAUGCAGCUCAGUCAGGACUGCGGGCAAAAUUUGUUUGACUACCUGAUAUUCCAUACACCCUUGUGUUUUAUUAUCCACCAAGAUCAAAUACAGUCAGACUGGAAGACAUUUAAAGCGCAAUUUCUGCACAUGCCAGCUUACCACGGACCCAGCCCUGUCCACUGAUUGAAGGAGUCCUGUUAGCGUUUUGCAUACACACAUUUUUAUGUAAGACGUUGAUGCGAGGACGCUUGGGUCAUCACAUGAUGUUGGUGUUUUCGGAAACUCCAUGUUCAAGGUAAAAGUUGCAGUAAAUGUAUUCCAGUAAAUGUAUUCCAGUAAAUGUAUUCCAGUAACUUAAUAUCAAUACUGUAAACAAAAACUUUUGACCACCAUUUG
Molecule: long non-coding RNA, 1948 nt
Organism: Mya arenaria
Lineage: Eukaryota; Metazoa; Mollusca; Bivalvia; Myida; Myidae
Exons: 15
Source: RefSeq, a predicted model, not a curated record